Molecule: long non-coding RNA, 1103 nt
Organism: Monopterus albus (swamp eel)
Lineage: Eukaryota; Metazoa; Chordata; Actinopteri; Synbranchiformes; Synbranchidae
Exons: 3
Source: RefSeq, a predicted model, not a curated record
GCUAACAAGGAAUGCAGUGUGGCUGUAUGAUAAUUCACUGUUAAAACAAGUCCAGACAUUUAGUUAAUUAUAUUGGUUUUAUAGACGUUCAACCCAGUCACCUGUCACUGAAAAGGUGGAGGGGGUGGGUUUUUAUACUGCAUGACAGGCAGGUGAACACUGUUGAAGUUGGAAUAAUGAGAAUACGGUUAGGUUAGGUCUGUAACUUUGGUUAACACAGAGUUAAACCACCUGCUUGAGGAGUUACAUAAGAUACAGAAGACCUGAAAACUACUUGCACCCUGGCAGGAGUAUGAUGCUUCCUAGUGUUGCACCCAUCCCUUGGCCCUUUGUAGGCUGCUUCAGGGUCCAGCCCUUUUCCAUGUUCCUCUUGGUCAAGCUUCAGGUGGCAGCCCUUGAAUAUGAACAAAGCUAGAGCCAGACGAAUGGUAAUCCUGCCUGCGAGGCGCUGGUGUCAAAGGUCACUCGUCGCCAGCAGAUGAAUCCUGUGGUCGGGGUGGCAGAGGCUAUGAUAGAGAGGAGAAGAAGACAGAGGAGCUCUUUUUUCUGAGGUUAUCCAGGGAGAAUCUAAUGAGGAGGAUUGGAGGAGAGAGAAGCCAUGCUGCUGCUUGGGCGGAGGCCAGAGGCGAGCUGCGGGAAAACGUCAAUACAGAAAGCAACACAGAGGAGGAUGAGGUAGAGAGGGAGAAAACUAAUGCGAAACAUGAAAUGAAAAGGAGAGUGGAGACAAGGCACAAUCAGUAGUUGCAUUCUGUGGUGUUGUGCGAGAGCCACUUAGUUCCUGAGGACAAGCCCAAGGCUAAUAAAGCUGAAAGUCUGUAGAUGCUCUGACCUUGCUUUGGGAAGCAAAGACCUAAUAAGGACACUGUCUAAAGAGAGAAAAAAACUUUUCUUUCUCUCCAGAGCAAACACUCUCUCCAUCCCUAUUUCAUACACUUGCUUCAUUAUAGCACAGAAGGGAAGAGGAACCUAUAGGCACCCUAAUGAAGGGGACUGUUGGAUCAAGUACAUUAAAAGGAGGGAUUAGACAGUGUCUGACAUGGAAACGGACUUUGAACAUGUUCAUACUGCAUGAUUAGUAACAGACUGACAUUUUUAACUCG